GAUGAAGAACGUAGCGAAAUGCGAUACGUAAUGCGAAUUGCAGAAUUCAGUGAAUCAUCGAAUCUUUGAACGCAUAUUGCGCUCUCUGGUAUUCCGGAGAGCAUGCUUGUUUGAGUAUCAGUAAACACCUCAACUUCCAUAUCUUUUUUGAAAUGGGAGUUGGACUUGAGUGAUCCCAACGCUUUUCCUCACCGAAAAGUGGCGGGUUACUUGAAAUGCAGGUGCAGCUGGACUUUUCUCUGAGCUAUAAGCAUAUCUAUUUAGUCUGCCUAAAAAACAGAUUAUUACCUUUGCUGCAGCUAACAUAAAGGAGAUUAGUUCUUGUGCUGACUGAUGCAGGAUUCACAAAGACAGGCUUCGGCCGACUUUGUAAACUCGAUCUCAAAUCAAGUAAGACUACCCGCUGAACUUAAGCAUAUCAAUAAGCGGAGGA
This 433-nucleotide unclassified non-coding RNA is filed under the name soil metagenome. RNAcentral's name for it is "partial contains 5.8S ribosomal RNA, internal transcribed spacer 2, and large subunit ribosomal RNA". The stretch from base 1 to 120 matches the Rfam family "5.8S ribosomal RNA", at positions 35 to 154 of the family's 154-position model. The record is from RNAcentral.